UUUUCUGUCUCUAUGACUGUUUCACAUUAAAAAAAGAAAUUCUGAUUUAUAUGUCUUGUAUACCACUUUCAAAUUAUAUAUAAUAUGUGAUAUAAAUGUAUUUCCAAACAGCAAAUCGGAUCUUCUUGUGAACUUUAGGGACUCAUGCAUCUUUUUUGAUUAAAUUUUGUUUCUAUUAUGACAUUUUCCACUCAAGCAUAUACGUCUUUGCUUCAGUUCACACUCCCUAGACCAAAUCUGUAUCAUUUUGACUGUGGUGACCUAAUAAUAUGCAGCUGACAGACAGCAUUCACAGUAUUUGCUACAGAGAAGAAAGGGAUGUUCUCUCAUUAUGAGAAUACAAUACUGCAGAAAGCUUCUGUAGGAGUAGGUGGGAGCAGAGUGAUUACACAAUGCUUUGAGUGAGGUGCUGCUGUAGUCUCUCGCUAUAGAAAUGUAACUAAUUCAGCAACAGUUUGUUUGCUACCAGCAUUGAAGUAUCACUUAAUAUCACAGGAGGAUGUUGAAGACACCAAAUCGGCUGCCACAGAGAGGAAAGAUAAAGUCCACUUUCAGGAGAAAAGUGAAAAAUGCAACCUUUAGACAACAGAUAACAUAGACGAAACUAGAAAUAUAGCAACUGGUACACCACUUUAAGCUCCUCCAUCUCAGAGAUCAGCAGGAUGGAUAAAUUGUCUUCUUCAGAGGCCUUCAUUUGUCUUCCUUUGACAGAGUGAGAAGAGGACGCAGUAUACCAUGAUAAUGUCACAUGUACUUUCUGAGGUGACACUGAGUCAGGUACUGGAAGCAGUGAGCUUAUGAAGGUCAAGCACCCCUCAACAUUGAGGGCCAGGGGCCUAAUAAUAGAUCUUGAUACAAAAUGUUAACAGUAAACUGACAACAAAUUCAUGAGUCACAGCCGUACACUUGUCUCUGUGGGCUUUAUCACAUCAUUGUGACAGUGCAGAGGAGUAAAAGCAGUUAGCAGCACUACACUGUAACAUGAAGCUUUUUAUUGAAAGACAUAGCCUCUAUUUCUAUGCACAUUAAUAUUGUGAAAAGAUUUUUCAAUUCACAUAAUCAAAACCUUCAUUUACUCAAAUAACUAAAGGAAUGUAGAUGCUGUCAAUGCAGACAAUUCAAGUGAAAUCAUCAAAUCUUUAUUUUUUUGAUCAUUGUUUAAAAAGCCGUG
This is a long non-coding RNA of Thunnus maccoyii (southern bluefin tuna), 1171 nucleotides long. RefSeq lists it as uncharacterized. The record is from RefSeq and is a predicted model, not a curated record. NCBI's taxonomy places the organism in Eukaryota, Metazoa, Chordata, Actinopteri, Scombriformes, Scombridae. The transcript has 3 exons.